RNAcentral lists this ribosomal RNA (315 nucleotides) under Triticum aestivum (bread wheat). RNAcentral's name for it is "partial small subunit ribosomal RNA". The record is from RNAcentral. Lineage: Eukaryota; Viridiplantae; Streptophyta; Magnoliopsida; Poales; Poaceae.
AUGUUCCCAGAGAGCUUGAGCUGGCUGAGCGAGUUGAUGGAGCUGUCGAGGGACUCGUCGUACACAUCGCUGGCCACAGAAUACGCCACGCCCGACCCCGCCGGCGAGCGCUUGCGGCGGAGGAGCCUCGCAAGCCUCCGCGCGAGGCCCCCCGCCUUCUGCUGCGGCAGCUCGGCCGCCAUUAGCGUCUCCAUUGCCGCUGCUGGUACUGCCUUGCUCUCACCCUCUCACGCCUCACUAGCUAGCUUCCUCCCGUUGUGUGGAGACUGGAGAGAAGAGAAGAGAACAGAGGGAAAUGGAAAUGAAUGGGAUUAG